UACAGAGGUGGCAAGCGCUGUUCGGAAUUACUGGGCGUAAAGCGCGUGUAGGCGGCUCUUCAAGUCAGGCGUGAAAGCCCCGGGCUCAACCUGGGAACCGCGCUUGAGACUGGAGAACUAGAGUUCGGGAGAGGAUGGUGGAAUUCCCAGUGUAGAGGUGAAAUUCGUAGAUAUUGGGAAGAACACCGAUGGCGAAGGCAGCCAUCUGGACCGACACUGACGCUGAGGCGCGAAAGCGUGGGGAGCAAACAGG
This 253-nucleotide ribosomal RNA is filed under the name uncultured bacterium. RNAcentral describes it as "partial 16S ribosomal RNA". It matches the Rfam family "Bacterial small subunit ribosomal RNA", at positions 524 to 776 of the family's 1533-position model. The record is from RNAcentral.